UCUCUGUGAGAUGAAAAGCUAGGGCCUGGAGCCUCGUGUGCUCAAUGUCAUGGAAGAUAACCGACCAGGUUGGCUGGUCCCAGCUAGCAUGGAGCUCCUCAUUGAUCAUCAUAUUGCUGACAAUGCUGUGGAUCUGUGCCUCCGAGAGGUCAAACAUUUUUGUCAGAUGAUCUAAGCUCAAUGAAUGAUAGGAUGAUGAAUAGGUAAAGAGAUAGGUCCUCAGAGCCUCUUCCUUAAUCUUAGCCUUGAGCAUCUCCAGGACAGAGUCCUUGUUCCUGAGGAGUUUCCAGAUGUCAAGAGACUGGACAACAUCAAAGGCCUUCUGAUAGUCUCCCUUGCUUAGGGCCCUUGUGGCUGCCAUUACAUGGUCCCUCACAUUUUCCGGGGGUCCAGUGAAUGUGUGCCUCUCACUCACCUCGAGCAACCGCCGGAAGUUCUUACUUAUGACUUUGCGCUUAACAUCGAGGGUGUUUGCAGCCAUAUUGGGGACUUCUAAAAGCAUGGCACAAAUUAGAUGAACAGCUUCCAGAAGCUCAAGGUUUAUGUGCAUGUGAUAAGGCAUUUGACGUCUCCUUUCCAUUCUCUCCUAAAAUGAGAAUAAAGAAGUUUCACAGCGUGAGCUCACACACAAAAGUGAUAAUCCUCUCAAGGGGAAAGGGAGAAGAGAGAAAAACUAAAUAAAAUUGUUUGCAGGGUAAAACAGAUCUUUCUCAAAUGGGAAAAAACAAGUUAUUCACUAAACCAAAUCCAGAGCAUAAGAGGCAUAUAUAGAUGAACCACUUGCUUGGAAAGUAGAAAAUAUUAUUGAGUAAUACAGGGUUGUUCAUAAGGAAAUUUUGACAACCAUCCACAGCAGAUAAUGACAUUGUACCUGCUCUGGGGUCUUCUCAUGGUACCUACUUUGAGAAACACCUUGUGCGAGUAAUUCCUUUACCCUUCCACCUGAAUAUAAUUCAGAAAGGCAACCAUGUGCUUCAGCUAUAAGGCCGAUACGAAAUGCACACAGACCAAGCUGUGCCAUAGCCCUGUUAAAAAGUAUCUGGGUCGAAAUGUCCAUAUGCUGGAUGCUAUCCUGCAGGUGACUCAUCAACAACAGGUCACGGGAAGUUGAGAACUCGUCCAAGAGAGCAUGGUGAUAGAUGUCACAAAGCAUUGCGCGGGCCUUAGUUCGCUCAUCUCCAUACUUGUAUAUAAGGGAUACCAGAAUAUCCAUCAGUGUCCUGCUAUUCUCAGGAAAAGUUGGUUUCCUCGGCACAAGCUCAGGAGUAACAACAAAUGCAGCUGGGCCCCUGCUCUCCUCAACCUUAGGCUCUUCCCCUGUCUCAUCAUCAUCAUCUUCAGUCUGCUCAGCCAAUUUCCUCAUAGCAUCAUAGACACCCUGAGGCUUAUAAUAUACAAGCUCCACCCGCCGUAAAGCCACCUUUGAAGCAGCUUUAAAAUCUCCAACACGUUCCAAGUAGUCUUGAACAUUUUGAGCAAGGACUAAAAACAUGGGCUCAUCCCUAAGCCUUUCGACAUAUUCACGUGUGUGGGGGUCAAUGCACUGCAAGCUCUUGAAAAACUCGGAAUCUAUCCUCUCUAGGAAGGCUACCAAAUUUCCCCAAAUCCUAAUUGUCCCAUUAUAGUCCGGACCUUUCUCAGACUCAUUCUCAUCAGGCUCCACUGAGUCACUAACUACUAUGUUGGGAUACUGCACAAGAAUGUCAAGGAUAACAAGCAUAUUCUGCACGCACUUCUUCCACACAUUGAUUGGCAUAUGACCAGUGAGACCCGGAUUAACAUCAAACUGAGCAGAUACAACACUGAAAAGAAUCUCAAGCUUCUGGGCAGGGGUCUUGGCUACCUUAGUCAAAAAAGUGAGCUGUUCAACCUGCUCAAACCGACCAGUCCCCUUCCUCCCACGAGCAGCCACAACCUCUUUAAACUUCUUGUUAACAGUUUCCCAUGUAAUCUCACUAGGAUUCCUAAAUUGCUUAUCCAUUAGCUUGUCUUUUCGGCUCAUCUUCUUCUCCCAACCAUCAUCGAGACUAUCCCCAGCUGCAUCAUCCUCAUCAUCAUCACCCUCAUCAGAAGCUUCAAUCUUGGUAGGGUCCUCAAUUUCCGAAUUUUCUGAUUCUUCUUCCUCUGAUUCCUCAUCCACUUCCACCUCUUCCUCACUUUCAGGAUGCUCUCUGUACUUAUUAAUCAACUCCUCAUACUGCUUAUUAUUCUUCUUGAGCUUCUGCUUCAUCGAAUUCAAGGCCUUGGCAUUGCUGCUACUCAUCUUCUUCUUAGCAUCCUUAUUGGCCAAAGCCUGACUCAAGAAGUCUUCCAACAUCACGAGGGCUUUAAUGUAAAGAGCGGGAACCUUCUGAGACUCGGUGACCCUCAUGACUUUCUCGAGCUGCUUAUUAAUCUUGUCGAAGCUCUCCUGCAAACUGACCCAAUCAUUAAUCUUCAUAGCAUUUUUCAUCUGGUCAACAGUGGCAGACAUUUCCUCGAAACGCUUGUCCUUCGCAGACUUAACAACCCGAUGCUGACCAUCGGAAUCAUCGCUGUCGCUCGCAUUCCCCUGGAGGUAUCUGCUUCCGGCAGCUGGAGCAGCGGACUCACCUCCCCCCUUUUCUUCGACAUCACUGCCAUAAUCGCUGCUCUCCUCGUCAGUCUCGUUCCCACCCUGUUUUUAACAAAAUUCAUUCAUGGUGAGAACUCUCAGUAAUACCGGUUACAAGUCAACGAGGCAUCUAGUGCACUAUGUGGGCACGUUUUUAUGACAGAGACAAGUACUAAUGUCCACAAUUUGAGCGCAAAAAACAAAGUUAGAAAGCAUAGACUCGAACCUGUGUCCAAAAACGCGACGCCAUUUUCUUCGGGCGCGAAUGAAAUCAGUCAAUUCGCCUCAGCGCUGCACAUCCACAUCGCACCGUAAGGCCAAUAGGACAUCAAAUAGAUUCAAAUAGAGUAAUACAAAACUAGACAAAAAAAUCCAUAUAACUCAGAAUAAAUUUGAUGGGAUCUUAUUAAAAAAAAGGUUUGUUUUUUUAUUUUUUAUUUUUUUGUCCCUUCACAAAAGCAGAAGCAGUAAGCAUCCGUGCAUUUGGAAGCCGGAGAGCACUCCGCUGGCACCGGGAUAUGGCCAAGGGCAGGGGCGGGCCGGAGGCCAUAUCCCCCUUUCCCGCCGCACGGGGCGGAGAACUGCGCCCGCGGCGCGGGGAGCGCCGCGGAAAAAGGGGGUUAUAACUAGAGAGAGAGAUGCGACGGACCUCGGAGGACGGAGGCGAGCGGCGGCGACGACGAGCUCGCCGCGGCGAGGCGACGGGCGGAGCCGGCGACGGCCAGAUGCCCAAAGCGAAGAGGAAGUACGAAAGAGCAAGAGCUGAGCACGGGGAAUUAGGGUUUCUCCAUUUCAGUUUUUUUUUUUUAAUUUUUUUUCAAAAAAAAAAUUAACUGUCAAUUCAGUUGAAGCCCAUUAAACUUUGGACACGAGGGAGACGGGUCGGUCAAUGAGCCGGUUGACGGAUCGGUCUGACUCUGGGUCGACCGGUUCAGCCGGCGGAUUGAUGAUUUGCAUAAUCUACAAUUGAAUGAUGUAAAAUGUAUUUAUCCAAGUCAUUGGAGAAAGUAAAAGGGCCUGAAUCUUAGGGGUGGAUGCUGCUUGAGGUCGGGUUCCCUCGAUUGAAUCCGGCUGAUAUCGGGUUUUGACCGGUUCAUGACCAUUUCGGGACCUGAACCUUGAGUCCUAUUCCCGAUUGAAUUGGGUGGGUCUUGUCCAAAUUUAAAAGCACCAAGGUAGGGGAUGAUACAAACACGAAGCGGAUAAGGUAUGAGGAAAUGUUUAUUAGAAAACCAAAUAAGGAAAGUACAAUCUAGAACGUGAUGGCUAAUUAGUAUCGUGUAUUCAUAAUCAUGUAGGUUUUCCACGUGAUCUCUUUUAAUUUUUAAAAAUGUUUUGCCUUUCACCAUAAUGAAGAGGGCUUUUCUCAAAAUUAUGCGAAUUUAAUCAUGUCGAUUUUGAACUAGUUAUGUUGUCUCUUGUUUUGAUUUGAGUUUCUCCUAGUAUAUUUAUGUUGUAUUUCAGUUAAAUUCUCAUAUGUCGUCAAGAAUUAGUGACACAUUGAAUUAGUACAUGGAUUUCCUUAACAAGACUUUUCUUAUUUACACUUCCAAGUAGCACAUUGAAUUAAUACAUGGAUUUCCCACGUGAAGUUUCGAAAUUUCAUUUCACAUUUAUUUCGGAUUUUAUAAAUACAAAUUGAUCUUUAACACAUACAACUAAAAUUUAAACAGAAAGCGGCUUUAGCUUAUUUAGUUAAAUCACGUUAAUCAACUUAAUUAUUAAACCAUCUAUUAGGGUUGGUUCUCCUCAUAUAAUUAAUUAAAUUAAAUGAACAUUCCUUAACCAGUAUUGACUUUUAAUAGCGAUAGAUGUAUUAAAAUUCAUCGUAUGCCUAUUUCCAGAGUUCAUACCUGAAUAGCCUAAUUUCUAUAUCUACAUAUAAGUGUGGCGUGAGAUACAAAUUUACGAUAGUCUAGAUUAUUACUUAUUAUUCGCUUAUUUUGGCAUUGUUUAGUAGAAAGUGAAUGAUUUCAAAAAAUAUUUUUCUAAAAAUAAUUAUUCAUAUUGCUUAAAAUAAUUAGUCAUCGGAAAAUGUUUUUAUUAUUGACAACAAUUUAUAUUUAAAUAUAUUCAUGAAUGAUGGAAAUGUUUUCCAUCUAUUUAUUUUCGUAAGAGAUAUAAACAAUCAUUUUUUGAAAAAAAAUGAUUUUAAAAUUAUUCAUUUUCCGCAAGACAAAUAGAACCUCGUGCUUUCGAUAAUUAAUUUAUUGUAGUCUUCGAUUUUUAUUUGCUAUCUAGAAGAGGCGAACUGCUAGCAAGUUCUGAGUCUUUCAGCUGUAACGUUGCUGUCAGUUUUUCCGUCACGUGACACUUACCGUCCAAAUGUUGAAACCUGCACAAUUUUUGACAGCAUUGCGCUCGGCGUCUGCAUGGCCACCUUCUUGACCUGGAAACUCAUCUUCAUGAAGGGCAUUCUACUACUUGUUCAUUGAUGUUCAUGGUAGGUUUUUGUUGCCGCCAGCUAUCUUAAGGUCAAUCAGCCUAUUCACUCGCAAUGUGAAGUCUUGGACAUCGGCUGUCGAUUGAAGCAAAGGCUACAUCAAUCGGAAGCCAACGUCGCACGACUACCGUGUUAAGAAAAAAGUUCAAAAAGUCAAAAAAGGGAGGUAAAGGAAAAAGAAAGAACAUAAUGCUGUUAUCCUGCCUUUUUGUAAUCUAACAUUAUCCAAAAAUGCAACAACAAUGUGGACGAUGAACGGAGUUUCUAAAAUUGAAAGUAACAGCACAGGAAUAUUCAAAACUUACGCUAUGCCCGCCAAAAAAGGAAAAAAAAAACAGAAAUUAGGUAAAUAUGCUUCUUCAAGUCAAGACUCAGAAAUAGCAGAACAGCUUUCUGCUUGAAAAGCUCACGUAUCAAUCAAUGACAGUCGACGUGGAUCCUUUUCGUCAGAGACCAUUACGAAGUUCCUCUCAUGCGCGAAGCCCCCUGUUCAGACUCACCAUGCGGGCCGAGCUGUUCAUCUGAGAUGACCUUCCUGCAGACCCAGUCUGAUACCUCCCCGAUCCUCCAAAAGUAGAGUCCUGAUAUCGGUUGCUCGCAGAAUAUCCACCUGUGCCACGCGACUGCCUAGAAUAGCCACCCCCUCCGCCUUGGCCGGUUGUCUGUUGCCUCCCGCCACCAGCACUUCCUUGCCUUCCCUGAUUGAAAGACGAGCCCUCUUGCCACCUACCACCACCAACACCUGACCCACCAGCAUAGUCCUGUCCAUCUCUCCUCCUCGGUGGCAGAUCCAAACCGCCGCCAACCCUAGCUUCCACAGCCCUCUCAUUACUUUCUGCCAGAAUUGCCAGUUUCUCUGUAAGAUGGAAUGCCAAGGACUGAAGCCUCGUCUGUUCAAUGUCAUGGAAGACAAUGGACCUGGUCAUCUGGUCCCAGCUAGCAAGGAGCUCCUCAUUGAUCAUCAUCUUGCUGACAAUGCUGUGGGUCUGUGCCUCUGAGAGGUCAAACAUUUUUGUCAGAUGAUCUAAGCUCAAUGAAUGAUAGGAUGAUGAAUAGGUAAAGAGAUAGGUCCUCAGAGCCUCCUCCUUAACCUUAUCCUUGACCAUCUCAAGGACGGAGUCCUUGUUCCUGAGGAGCUUCCAGACGUCAAGAGACUGGACGACAUCAAAGGCCUUCCGGAAGUCUCCCUUGCUUAGGGCCCUUGUCG
RNAcentral lists this long non-coding RNA (6243 nucleotides) under Eucalyptus grandis. RNAcentral describes it as "long non-coding RNA (EGRA_LNC000343)". The record is from RNAcentral. Lineage: Eukaryota; Viridiplantae; Streptophyta; Magnoliopsida; Myrtales; Myrtaceae.